RNAcentral lists this ribosomal RNA (253 nucleotides) under uncultured bacterium. Its description in RNAcentral is "partial 16S ribosomal RNA". It matches the Rfam family "Bacterial small subunit ribosomal RNA", at positions 524 to 776 of the family's 1533-position model. The record is from RNAcentral.
UACGGAGGGGGCUAGCGUUUUUCGGAAUUACUGGGCGUAAAGCGGGUGUAGGCGGAUUGCUAAGUCGGAGGUGAAAGCCCAGGGCUCAACCCUGGAAUUGCCUUCGAUACUGGUAGUCUCGAGUGCAGGAGAGGUGAGCGGAAUUCCGAGUGUAGAGGUGAAAUUCGUAGAUAUUCGGAGGAACACCAGAGGCGAAGGCGGCUCACUGGCCUGUUACUGACGCUGAGACCCGAAAGCGUGGGGAGCAAACAGG